Molecule: ribosomal RNA, 964 nt
Filed under: Gymnodinium aureolum
Lineage: Eukaryota; Dinophyceae; Gymnodiniales; Gymnodiniaceae
Description: eukaryotic LSU rRNA
Rfam family: Eukaryotic large subunit ribosomal RNA
Source: RNAcentral
AGAACUAAAAAGGAUUCCCUUAGUAAUGGCGAAUGAACAGGGAUGAGCUCAAUAUGGAAAUUGUGGCUUCUGGCUUUGAAUUGUAAUCUCAAGAUGCAUUGCUAACUGGGGCGUAGGUGAAAGCCUCUUGGAAAAGAGAAUCAUUGAGGGUGAGAAUCCUGUUUGUCAUCUACAGUCCUCCGUGUACGGCAUGCGUUCUAAGAGUCACGUUCCUCGGGAUUGGAGCGCAAACUGGGUGGUAAAUUUCAUCUUAAGCUAAAUAAGGGUUCGAGACCGAUAGCAAACAAGUACCAUGAGGGAAAGAUGAAAAGGACUUUGAAAAGAGAGUUAAAAGUGCCUGAACUUGCUGAAAGGAAAGCGGAUGGAACCAGUGUUGCUUGGCGAGAUUGUUGCGUGCGAAAGUGAUUGCUUGCUGCAUCAGCGCAAGCGGUGCUGUGGGUUUUGAUCUGGCUGUGCGCGAUGCUUCUUGCCUCGUGUGUCAUCGUCAGUGUGCUGGUGAGGACAACUCUUGGGACAUGGUAGCCUGCCCCUGGGCGUGCGAAUGUGCCUUGCAGAACUCACUGUCAUAUUGCUCCUCCACAUGUGAGGUCGUGCUGCCUUUCUUUGGCACCUGUGUUGGCGUUUGUGCCUGGCCUAGGUGUCGUUUGCUGAGCACCUUCCUGACAUAGCCAUGGUGACUAAAUGGUUCUAUUCGACCCGUCUUGAAACACGGACCAAGGAGUCUAACAUGUGUGCGAGUUCUUGGGCGGCGAAACCUACGUGCGCAAUGAAAGUGAUUACUGAGAUGCUAGCAUCAGCAGCCGACCGAUCAAUUGGGAGAGGUUUGAGCAUGAGCAUAUCUGUUAGGACCCGAAAGAUGGUGAACUAUGCUUGUGAAGGGUGAAGUCUGGGGAAACUCAGAUGGAGGCUCGUAGCGAUACUGACGUGCAAAUCGUUCGUCAUACAUGGGUAUAGGGGCGAAAGA